UGGGGAAUAUUGCACAAUGGGGGAAACCCUGAUGCAGCGACGCCGCGUGAGCGAGGAAGUAUUUCGGUAUGUAAAGCUCUGUCAGCAGGGAAGAAAAUGACGGUACCUGACCAAGAAGCCCCGGCUAACUACGUGCCAGCAGCCGCGGUAAUACGUAGGGGGCAAGCGUUAUCCGGAUUUACUGGGUGUAAAGGGAGCGCAGGCGGCCGUGUAAGCCAGAAGUGAAAGCCCGGGGCUCAACCGCGGGACUGCUUUUGGAACUACAUGGCUUGAUUGCAGGAGAGGCAAGUGGAAUUCCUAGUGUAGCGGUGAAAUGCGUAGAUAUUAGGAGGAACACCAGUGGCGAAGGCGGCUUGCUGGACUGUGAAUGACGCUGAGGCUCGAAAGCGUGGGGAGCAAACAGG
This 404-nucleotide ribosomal RNA is filed under the name uncultured bacterium. RNAcentral's name for it is "bacterial SSU rRNA". It matches the Rfam family "Bacterial small subunit ribosomal RNA", at positions 355 to 776 of the family's 1533-position model. The record is from RNAcentral.